This 255-nucleotide ribosomal RNA is filed under the name uncultured bacterium. RNAcentral describes it as "partial 16S ribosomal RNA". It matches the Rfam family "Bacterial small subunit ribosomal RNA", at positions 524 to 777 of the family's 1533-position model. The record is from RNAcentral.
GACGAACCGUGCUAACGUUAUUCGGAAUCAUUGGGCUUAAAGCGCGUGUAGGCGGAUGGGAACGUCGGAGUUGAAAGCCCCCCGGCUCAACCGGGGAAUUGGCCCCGAAACGACCCGUCUCGAGGGGCAUAGGGGGACCUGGAACUUCCGGUGGAGCGGUGAAAUGCGUUGAGAUCGGAAGGAACGCCCGUGGCGAAAGCGAGGUCCUGGAUGUCUUCUGACGCUGAGACGCGAAAGCUAGGGGAGCGAACGGGG